Molecule: ribosomal RNA, 500 nt
Filed under: uncultured Lachnospiraceae bacterium
Lineage: Bacteria; Bacillati; Bacillota; Clostridia; Lachnospirales; Lachnospiraceae
Description: partial 16S ribosomal RNA
Source: RNAcentral
CACGUAGUUAGCCGGGGCUUCUUGGUCAGGUACCGUCUUGCUUCUUCCCUGCUGAUAGAGCUUUACAUACCGGAGUACCCCUUCACUCACGCGGCGUCGCUGCAUCAGGGUUCCCCCCAUUGUGCAAUAUCCCCCACUGCUGCCUCCCGUAGGAGUUUGGGCCGUGUCUCAGUCCCAAUGUGGCCGGUCACCCUCUCAGGUCGGCUACCGAUCGUCGCCUUGGUGGGCCGUUACCCCACCAACCAGCUGAUCGGACGCGGGUCCAUCCUAUACCACCGGAGUUUUCCACACUGUCCCAUGCGGGACUGUGCGCUCAUGCGGUAUUAGCAGCCAUUUCUAGCUGUUAUCCCCCAGUAUAGGGCAGGUUACCCACGCGUUACUCACCCGUCCGCCACUAAGUCAUGCCCCUCUCCGCCCGAAGGCCUCGAGGGACGUGCUUCGUUCGACUUGCAUGUGUUAGGCACGCCGCCAGCGUUCAUCCUGAGCCAGGAUCAAACUCU